Molecule: unclassified non-coding RNA, 712 nt
Filed under: Hevea brasiliensis (rubber tree)
Lineage: Eukaryota; Viridiplantae; Streptophyta; Magnoliopsida; Malpighiales; Euphorbiaceae
Source: RNAcentral
CUCAACAAAUUGUACUGUGCCUACAAUUGGAAAUGAUGGCCAGCUAUAUGGAACAGAGCAGUAUCAGUACCCUAAUCCUUUUUACCAGGCUCCAACUUCAACUGGCUCACUUUAUUCCCCAGACUCGGCCAGUGCUUCUCAGUUAGAGUUUCCAACUUCUGCUGCAGCUGAUAAAGUGGCUUUGACUGUUGGGACAACUUCAGGACACCCCAAUAAUACAGUAAACACUGGAAGUGUAAAUAGAAGUAGUGGACCAAGACCUUUCAGACCAAGUAAUCAAAAUUCAUCUUCAAUUUCAAGUGUUCCAUAUAACAGGGGAGGUUUACCAACUGGAUUUCCUUCUUUUGGUUAUCAUGGCCCAAGAUUUGGAUAUGAUGGAUUUCAGUCACCAAUGCCUUGGUUAGAUACCUCUAUGUUACCUAAUGGGCCACCUGGACAUGCAAUCAGCACUGGGUUCUCUUCACCUCUGAAUUCACACCGUACAAGACCAAUGUCUGGUUUGGGCCAAGCUUCCGAAGGCAUGAACUUGAUGUACCCUAACAACAGAAUGUAUGGCCAAUAUGGAUACAGAGCUGGUUCAAGUUUUGGAUCCUUUGGUGGUAAUUCAUGGACAAAUGGACAUGGGUGGGUGGUUGUUGAUAAUAAGUGCAAACCUAAGGGCCGUGGCUAUGGCAAUGAGAAUAUAGAUGGCUUAAGUGAGUUGAAUAGAGGA